This 252-nucleotide ribosomal RNA is filed under the name uncultured Acholeplasma sp. Its description in RNAcentral is "partial 16S ribosomal RNA". It matches the Rfam family "Bacterial small subunit ribosomal RNA", at positions 1131 to 1382 of the family's 1533-position model. The record is from RNAcentral. Lineage: Bacteria; Bacillati; Mycoplasmatota; Mollicutes; Acholeplasmatales; Acholeplasmataceae.
UUGGGGACUCUAGCGAGACUGCCAGUGAUAAACUGGAGGAAGGUGGGGAUGACGUCAAAUCAUCAUGCCCCUUAUGACCUGGGCUACAAACGUGAUACAAUGGCUGAAACAAAGGGCAGCGAAGCAGUGAUGUGAAGCGAAACCCAAAAAAGCAGUCUCAGUUCGGAUUGAAGUCUGCAACUCGACUUCAUGAAGUCGGAAUCGCUAGUAAUCGCGAAUCAGAACGUCGCGGUGAAUACGUUCUCGGGGUUU